Molecule: long non-coding RNA, 1115 nt
Organism: Brassica rapa (field mustard)
Lineage: Eukaryota; Viridiplantae; Streptophyta; Magnoliopsida; Brassicales; Brassicaceae
Source: RefSeq, a predicted model, not a curated record
UGCUAAUAAUAUUUUUUAUUUUUUCAUUUAAAAAAAAACUAAAACUAAAAUUUAAAUCAACCAUUUAUGAUUUUCAAAAAAAAAACAAAAAAAAAACUAGAAACUACUGCAAAAUAAAAAAAUAAAAAACUAAAAACCAAAAUCUAGUAUCUAAAUACUAAAAAUUAAAAUCCAAAAACCAUUAAAAGAAUUAUCACCCUAAUCGCAUUAUAUAUAUCAUUUUCUUAUAAACUUGUGCCAUUCAUAACUAGUAUUUGAGAAAAAAAAAACAUAAGAUCGGAAGAGAAGGUCAAUCAUUUUCUUAUAAACUUGUCCCAUUGAUGAUUAGUAUUUGAGAAAAAAAAAACACGAGAUCAGAAGAGAGACUUUCUCCUCUGUAUCCCCAAAGAAGAUUUAAUCAUCAUCACACAGAGACGAUGACCCGUGAUAGAAUCAUUCUGGUCAACCCUUUUUUACACAAGGAAUGAUCAUUCUUGAGGAGUCGACCGGAACGAACCCUCUGUUUCUCGUCCUACUUGAAGGUCAUCCUUCAGCGUCCAAGGCUUCCAUUGAUGCGGUGCUGACCGUUGAUCUCGCCGGCUGCGAAGGAAGGUGUGUGAUCUGUUCGGACGAAUGGAAGGCGGAGGAUACGGUGAAGGAGAUGCCGUGUAAUCAUCGGUUUCAUUGAGAAAUGGUUAGCGUUUGUUUGUGUCCUGUUUGUAGGUUUAAAUCUCGGAUAUAAAGAUUUUUAAAUAUUGAUUCAAAAUGGAGAUACUCUGUUUCUUUGUGUUCUGUUUUUUUUUGUGAGAAUUCAUAGACCAAGUAUUUUAUAGGCUUCCAUGCAUUUCUUGUUUUGCUUGAUUUAAAACACAGAGAUAAGCUGCUCUUACUCCACUCAACACCUACGAAAUACCAACUCCCACUAUACAGCACUUAAUCUAUUAGAGCACCCCCAUUAGUGAACUUAUGGGGGGUUCACACACAUUCCCAAAAAAAAAAAAUUAUUAAAAUAAGGAAUAGUGAUGAACCUGUCUCUCUCCACCCCUUCUCAGUGAACCUGGUUCAUCACUGUAGCGCGGGCCCCACGGCACGUGGCGGCCCGCGACUGGUCCGAAAAAAUAAUUUUUUUUUUUUUU